This is a non-coding RNA of Prunus mume (Japanese apricot), 476 nucleotides long. Lineage: Eukaryota; Viridiplantae; Streptophyta; Magnoliopsida; Rosales; Rosaceae. The record is from RefSeq and is a predicted model, not a curated record.
GAGUGAAAUUUCCGAGAUCCCACAAAAGUUAUGGAGGCUUUCUGAGAAAUGUGAGGAACUCAAUGAAGAAAACAAUGACAUAAUUGAUGAACUAGAGAAGACGUAUGGUCCAGAUGCCGUUUCUGAUCUCAAAGCUGCGAAAGUUGAGUCUUUUGAUGGCAAAAGCAACAGCCCUGAACCUUUUGAUGGCGAAAGCAACAGCGCUGAACCGAAAACUCCAAGCAGAGACAACUCAAGUCCUGAUCCUCUAAUGCUUAGUUUGGGGCUAUAACCACUCUGCUGAUUUUUUUUCUUUUUAUUGUAGUUGAAAGCUCCAGAAUGAAAAGAAGAAAGGAAGAAAAAUAUUCCCAUCUCAUCAUUUUCGCCUGUUUUGUGCCAACUGAUGGUUUUCUACUAAAUGUUGUGAGACUUGGAUUGGAGAAUGGAACUGUAAAGAUUUUUCUAAUUAUAAAUAGAAAUGGCCAUAGUUGAAACAA